GGGCUGCAGUCGAGAAUAUUCCCCAAUGGACGAAAGUCUGAGGGAGCGACGCCGCGUGCAGGAUGAAGGCCUUCGGGUUGUAAACUGCUUUUCUCUGGGAAGAACACUGACCGUACCAGAGGAAUAAGAGGUUGCUAACUCUGUGCCAGCAGCAGCGGUAAUACAGAGACCUCGAGCGUUAUCCGGAUUUACUGGGCGUAAAGGGUCCGCAGGUGGUUUUGUAAGUCUUCGGUUAAAUUCUUGAGCUCAACUCGAGAACCGCCGAGGAAACUAUAAGACUAGAGACUGGGAGAGGCAAGCGGAAUUGCCGGUGUAGUAGUAAAAUGCGUUAAUAUCGGCAAGAACACCAAAUGCGAAGGCAGCUUGCUAGAACAGUUCUGACACUCAGGGACGAAAGCGUGGGUAGCGAUACGGAUUAGAUACCCUUGUAGUC
RNAcentral lists this ribosomal RNA (433 nucleotides) under uncultured Parcubacteria group bacterium. RNAcentral describes it as "bacterial SSU rRNA". It matches the Rfam family "Bacterial small subunit ribosomal RNA", at positions 346 to 795 of the family's 1533-position model. The record is from RNAcentral.